Molecule: transfer RNA, 60 nt
Filed under: Mucilaginibacter gossypiicola
Lineage: Bacteria; Pseudomonadati; Bacteroidota; Sphingobacteriia; Sphingobacteriales; Sphingobacteriaceae
Description: tRNA_Arg_TCT
Rfam family: tRNA
About the family: Transfer RNA (tRNA) molecules are approximately 80 nucleotides in length. Their secondary structure includes four short double-helical elements and three loops (D, anti-codon, and T loops).
Source: RNAcentral
CCAUAGAGGGGUUUGCUAACAGAUUUCUAAUCUGUAGGUCUUUGGUUCGAAUCCAAAUGG